This 864-nucleotide long non-coding RNA is filed under the name Ananas comosus (pineapple). RNAcentral's name for it is "long non-coding RNA (ACOM_LNC002212)". Lineage: Eukaryota; Viridiplantae; Streptophyta; Magnoliopsida; Poales; Bromeliaceae. The record is from RNAcentral.
UUAAUUUUUAUAUAUAAUCAAGAGUUGGACUGGGCUACUAUUAAUAGCAAAAUUCCAUUGUUGCUACCAGUUUUUUAGCUUUUGGAUCAACUUUUUUCAUUAUUUCUAACCAUGGAUUAAAUACUAUAACCCAGUGGGGACCACUCAAUCCUAAGGGGACCACUCAACUCUAACCGACUAAUAUCAUCCCGACUGUACAAUUUUCAUCCAAGAGUUAAAAACUUGAUAGCAAAAAGAGCGUUUUACUAUUAAUAGUAUUCCAGCCUAAUUCUAUUUAAUUACUAGAUAAACUUAAUUGCCAUCAGUAGCUAGAGAAGGGAAAGUAUUAAGUAUAUAAAGCAUCUUUUGGGAAUGUAUCUCGGUUGCUUUUAGAAGUACGAUGGCCUUUAUACUUUCAUUACUAUUUUGUUUUUUUUUUUUUUUGAGAGAGAAAGGUAGCAUGCUACCCGCUUCGUUUAUUUCAUUUAGAAAUAAACUUAGCUGGAAAUGUGAAUCAAUUAGGAUUCGAACUUGCGUCUUGGGUACCAACCACCAACCCCUUUUGCCACUUGCGCUAGGGAUGAUCGGUUCCAUUAUUAUUUUGUUGAUUCGAAUCAAUAGUUACCAUAGUUUUGAUUGAGUUGGCGGUAUUAGAUAUAAGUUUGAAUCGUAGUUAUUUGAUUGUAAUAAGAAUUUGUGGUAGUAUUAGUUUGAUUUUAGUUAUUUAAAACUUAUUUUUUUGGCCCAUAGGCUUCCUGGGCGGCCCAAUAUUAUAUGGGUUAUGCCUGGGAGCCCAUGCUUAUUCUAUUAUAUCUGAGUUUAGUCCCAUAUUGGAAAUUCAAGAUAUAUAGUAGUGGCUUAUGUACUCCAUCAUCCCAAAUUUAU